AUUGUGACUGAUAUCAAGAACAUAAAUGCAAAACACAAGAACAGUAAAGUGAAUGUAGUAUUGCAAAAUUUCAUGUAUACCAUGUUAAGAGACAGCAAUGCUACUGCAGCCAAGAUAUCCUUGGAUGUGAUGAUUGAACUCUAUAGAAGAAACAUCUGGAAUGAUGCUAAAACUGUCAAUGUUAUCACAACGGCAUGCUUCUCUAAUGUCACCAAGAUAUUAGUUGCUGCUUUGACAUUCUUCCUGGGAAAAGAUGAAGAUGAGAAACAGGACAGCGACUCAGAAUCCGAGGAUGAAGGACCAACAGCGAGAGACCUUCUAGUGCAAUAUGCCACAGGGAAGAAAAGCUCCAAACACAAGAAAAAAUUGGAAAAGGCUAUGAAAGUGCUCAAGAAACAAAAGAAGAAGAAAAAGCCAGAAGUAUUUAACUUUUCAGCCAUCCACUUGAUUCAUGAUCCCCAAGAUUUUGCAGAAAAACUACUAAAACAACUCGAGAGUUCUAAAGAGAGAUUUGAGGUGAAGAUGAUGCUCAUGAACCUUAUCUCCAGAUUGGUGGGAAUUCAUGAGCUUUUCCUCUUUAACUUCUACCCCUUUGUUCAAAGGUUUCUGCAGCCCCACCAAAGAGAUGUAACAAAGAUCCUUCUGUUUGCUGCACAAGCAUCUCAUCACCUGGUACCCCCGGAGAUUAUUCAGUCAGUGCUCAUGACUGUGGCCAACAACUUCGUUACUGACAAGAACUCUGGCGAAGUGAUGACAGUAGGAAUCAAUGCUCGAUGCCCUCUAGCCAUGACUGAAGAACUUCUCCAAGACCUGGCCCAGUAUAAAACACACAAAGAUAAGAAUGUGAUGAUGUCCGCUAGAACUUUGAUUUAGCUUUUCCGAACACUAAAUCCUCAGAUGUUGCACAAGAAAUUCCGGGGAAAGCCUACAGAAGCCUCAGUAGAAACAAGGGUACAAGAAUAUGGGGAAUUAGAUGCUAAAGACUACAUUCCAGGAGCAGAAAUUCUGGAAGUUGAGAAAGAGGAAGAGAAUGCUGAAGAUGAUGAAGAUGGCUGGGAAAGUGCCAGUCUCAGUGAGGAGGAGGAGGAUGCCGAUGGUGAAUGGGUUGACCUUUGCAACAAGAAUAUCUUCAGACAUAUGUAA
Molecule: RNA transcript, 1143 nt
Organism: Chrysochloris asiatica (Cape golden mole)
Lineage: Eukaryota; Metazoa; Chordata; Mammalia; Afrosoricida; Chrysochloridae
Gene name: protein SDA1 homolog
Exons: 2
Source: RefSeq, a predicted model, not a curated record